UCAGAAAUGAGUAGCUCCAAGAUUUUUUAUUAUUUUUAUUGUAGUAAUUUUAUUCGUAUCUAUUAUUGGCUGUUCAAAUGAAGGCUUUAGUGACAAUGAAGGCUUUAGCGUGUGAAUCCAAAGUUUUUUAAUCUUUCAACAAAUUUUACAAGAAACUAUACACUUGAUGAACAUGUCGAAGGUGAUUAUGAGUUAUAAUGUGGAUUUGGUUACGUAAAAUAUAAUGGGGAUGACGAAAUUUUCUUCUGUGAUAUUGUCAAUGUACAUGUAUCGUAUAUAAUGGUAGAAAUUAAACAGGUUUUGGUGAAGGAAAAGCUUGGAUAGAGCGUGGAGAAAUCGGUCAAGAUGCCGGAAUAUAUUUUUGUUAUCAAUCCAGCAAAACUAGGCGUUUUUCUUAUAAUCACGCCGUCUAUGGUUUUUUAAAGUAACAAGAAAAAAAACGAAUUCUUAAUAACGGUCCGUAUUUAUUGAAUGGAAAUAAUUGUAGUGUUUCUAUUCAAAGUGAAACAAAUGAAAACACAAGAAUGAAUGUGAGUCUUCUACUGAGAUUUUAUUGAAAUGUAACACCAGCAUAAAAAAAUGGACAUUUUUCGUAUGGCAGCGUUACAAUUUAAUGAAGUCUCACAUUCGUUCUCGAAUAAUGAAAUAAUAAACAUCCUUCAAUUAUCAAGUUAUAUAGAUACAUUAUUUUAUCAACACAUUUGGCUCGCACUUUUUUCUUUUCCGUUGAAAAAAAUUAUUCACUUGU
This is a long non-coding RNA of Contarinia nasturtii (swede midge), 748 nucleotides long. RefSeq lists it as uncharacterized. The transcript has 3 exons. NCBI's taxonomy places the organism in Eukaryota, Metazoa, Arthropoda, Insecta, Diptera, Cecidomyiidae. The record is from RefSeq and is a predicted model, not a curated record.